Molecule: long non-coding RNA, 15394 nt
Filed under: Capsicum annuum
Lineage: Eukaryota; Viridiplantae; Streptophyta; Magnoliopsida; Solanales; Solanaceae
Description: long non-coding RNA (CANN_LNC009621)
Source: RNAcentral
UUCUUCAGUCACACGUAAUGACUAUGCAAAACUAUUAAACCUUCAACACUUCAACAAUGGCGAGCACCACCAACACACUUCUCUGUAUCCGCCCUCAACUCCAAUGUUUCCUCCCACAACAGCUCUAUCAUAUGUGAGGAUUACUAGCGAAGGUGGCCUGAGAUAGAGACAAAGGGGGGUAGGGGUGGAGUACGGAGGAAGUUCACAAAUUCAUCAAUCGAGGUUCAAGAUAAUAAUGUUAAUAAAGAUAGAUAAUAAUGUUAUAUUUGUUAAGAGAGUUCAGAGAUACAUAAAAAUACUGUAUAUGAUUGAAAAGAACAAGGAGAUACAUCACGCGAUCCUCCAUCAAAUGAACAAAAUUUAUAUAUCUUACUAAAUAUUAGGUUACAAAUACAUAAGAAAAGAUGAUGUCUUUGGUUGAACUCUAACCAAAAUCAUAUAUCGAAAUGAUUUUUGUGCUACUGAUAUAUAAUACUUAUGUAUCUGAUUAUAUUUUUGUGAUACUAAUACAAAAGAGCUAUGUAUCAGGAAAGUUAUGUGUCUGAGCCUCAAUAAUGUAUCACAAAAAUUAAAACUCAAAAUUUUAUGUAAUUACCAAAAUCAUGUGAGAAAUUCAAUAAGCUUUCCAUCUAUAUAAGAUUCGCCCAAAUUCAAUAACCGGGUCAGAAGUUACGACUAUUUCAAGUUUCCAUCAUAAAACAGUACCAUAUCAGUCUGUGGCGAGCCGCGCCAGAAAGAGAAAUGGCAUUUGGCAAAUUCCAGUAGGGUUCUGUAAUUAUGGCGCAUCGCGCUAGGGCCCAAAUUCAGAAUUGUCCUUUUCCAGUGUCUCGGCGUGAUUUUCUCUGCGUCGCGCCAAAGUUUAAGAUCACAAAAGAAGGGGAAACACGAUGGCUCCGCGUUGCGCCAUCCCUCAGUUUCCUAAUUGUUAAAUUCCAGUGACACAGUGCGAUAGCGCCACAUCGUUCCAGGGGUUCAGUUCGGGAAAAUUUUACUGAAAUUAAAUGGCGCAUCCAGGGUUAAAGGGGUCAACUUCCCACCCUUAUUUAAGCCCUUUAAUGCAUGAUUCAGCCACUUUUCACCUAAAAUACACUCUCUUCUCUUGAAAACCUCUCAAGAACAAGCUAGGAUUUUCAUAGAAGAUCCAAUUCCAAGAAAGUUUCUCCAUCAAUCUUCACAAAAUCACGAACUAAGGUAUGCAUAGUGUUCAUUCAUGGACUCCUUUUAUCCAUGAAGCCCAAGAAUUUCUUUUCUAAAGUCAAGAUUUUAGAUUUUCUUUAUGAACUUCAUGUUGGGUUUAUUUUAUUUAUGUUGAGAAUGAUCAAUUAAAUUCAAAUUCAUGUUGGGUGAUUAAUGGUAUGUGGAAUUGAUUUGUAUAGAUAUAUAUUCAUGUGAACCUGUGACUAAACCUUUGAAUGAUGAAAUUAGAAGUUGAACCAUGAUGUGUAAUUUUUGAAUAAUGGUGUCUACAUAUAUUAUGCCUAUCAGGUGUUUGAUUAAAUGCCUAGAUGAAGGAAAAAUGCCUAACUAGCAUGAUACCAUGAAAUCCCCAUGUAUGUACAAGUUAUGCCUAUCACAUGUUUUGAUGAAAUACCUCUAUAAAUGUAUUAUGGAUUAUGAUGUUAGUUAUAUUUUCAAGUAAGUUAUGCUUGGUCAGUUUCCUUCCAUCGAGUCCUGGGGGUACUCGUACCAGAAACAUUAGUUGUGUGCCUAGAACCAUGUCAUUUUUUCAAGAUACUCUCGGUCAAGCUAUGAAUCCUUAGACUUCAGACAGUUUUAUGACUCAGGAAAUCUCCAUGAUCUCAUGAACUCAGUCAGUUGUCAGAUAUCAGUAAUAUUUGGUCAGUCAAAAAAAAUUCAGUAACUCAGUACAUGUUCAGUUCAGUAAAUUAUGUUCAAUGUCUAUUCAGAUGGGAGUAGAAAUUAGCACCGAGUGAACCCAAGGAUGGAAACUCACCUAUUAUAUGAGGGUGUGAUUCUUAGAAGAAAUCUUUGCGUUACAGAACUAUAUAGCCAGCAUAGGUUUAGACAUCAUAGCCUGCUAUAUGAGGGUAGAUGAGAUGGCUUAGCUUGCUAUAUAAGGGUUCCCACCAUUCUCACUAGAGUUACCUUUUAUAUUAGGGUCACUCAUAUGUUGUCCUUACCAGUGGCGUGGUAUUGACACCCUUCCAAUCAGGGCAUAGAUUGGACCCCUAUUCAGCUAUAAUGCAUCAUUUUGGGCAUGUUGGUUAGAUGAAUACCUCCCACAGUUUCAAUAUCAUCUCAAUAAAAGAACUCAGAUAGUUCUUCAGAAUUUAGGACUGUCAGAUACAGUUAACUCAGACACAGUACGAAACUCAGAUAGUUCCAUCAGAUUCAGGACUGUCAGAUACAAUUACUUAUGUUAUCAUUUAUAUUCAGAUUCAGUAAUCAUGUUAUCACAGCAUUAGUCUCAGUUGUUAUGUCUUAUGCAUGUAUUCUCACGCUCAUGAUAGUUAGUCGGUUAUUAUUAUUGUUCAUGCAUAUGAACCCCAUGCAUUCAGCCUACCUCACAUACAUACCAGUAUAUUCAAAGUACUGAAGCAUUUGCGCUAUGGUGUCUUAUACCAUAGGCUCAGAGACACGAACUCUCGAGUAAUAGUAGAUUCCAGAUAUCCGCAGACAGAUUUAAAAGUGAGUCCUCAUCUUUUGAGGACAUGAUUAUUUCCCUAUAAUCUUAUUAAUCAGUUUAUUAGUUGGAGUUAGUUGGGGACAUGUCCCAUCAACUCCUUACUCAGACAAUUCAAUCAGUUAGAAGCUUUCUAGACUAUCAUAUUUCAGACUUCAGUAUGUUCAAUUUUGUUUUGGAUAUUCUACUACUCCACACAGAUGUUAUAUUAUUCAGAUUAUGUUCAGUUAUGAACCUUACAGCCUUUUAGUUUAUGUUUCCACAUUAUUCAGUAUUUUAUGCAGUAUAUAGGUACAGAUAUCAGUCAUGGGUUAGCUUGUGCUCCUUCGAGGUCAUGAGCACCGUGUAGCAUUCUGAGUAUCAAAUUUGGGGCGUUACAAAAAGGGAUUUUAAAUUGAGGUCAUGCUCAAUCGCAUGAUAUGAACACAGAAAGAAGGGAAACUUUUCCUAAAAUGUCUUAUAGCUUCUUGCCCAUAAGUAUGGUGCACUUCACAACCAUGUAUAAGACUCUACUCAAUAUGGAUUUCUGGCUACCUAGGAUACUUUAAAACCAUAGGUUCUGAUACUAAGUUUGUAAUGCCUUGAGAGUACACCCUGGACGCCACACGGUGCCUACAUCCCCGAGGGACGACAAGCUAACCCAUGUUUGUACAUACUGUAAGCACUAAAUAAAAUAAUAGAGAACAUGUGUGAAGUUUAACCAAAAAUGCCAUAAGGUUUGAAAUACGAAAACAAUACUAAAUCGAAAUACUAAAAACAUCCGUCUAAAAAUAAUACUGUAAGACUAUCAAUAACAACUGAUAACUGAAUAACUGAUGGAAAGUAUCCGAAAGCCUCUAACCGACUAACUGUGGAGUUGAUGGGACAAGUCCCCAACUAACUUUGACUGACUAUUGAACUGAACUGAAAUAAACACAAAUGGUCCUCGGAACAUAAGGACUCACCACUGCUACUACUGCGGAUACACUGGGGAGAUUUAGGUGCGGUUAGGAACCUGAGCAUCGAACUUAUGAUAUGAGACAUCAUAGAGAAAAAAACGAGUAUGUUGUAAGUAUUUUGAAUUUACUGGUAUGCUAAAUAAGAUUAGGUGGACGUGCAUGGUUCAUAUGCAUGAAUGAUACUAGAUGAACACGUAGCAUGUGUAACUGAUGUAUAGUAUGCAAGAAAUAUUGUAAAAUCUGAGAAUGCAUGACCAAGCAUAUGACAUAAUACUGAAAUAGUCUGUAAACUUAAAUACUGAAAUACUGAUGCUGAACAACUAAUAACUGUAUGUCAUAGUCAAUCAUGUCUGAAAAUUGAACACUAGACUGAGACUAUAGGAGAUAUUAUCUAACCGAUAUGCUCCAAUAAGGUGAAUUGGGGUCCAACCUGUAAUCCCAAUUGGAAGGGUGUUAGUACCGUACCGAGUGUACUAACACUGGCUAUGUGGAUCAACUAAAGUGUUGUGCCAAAAGACUAAGGGUCACCCUCAAUUGGAAGGGCCGUAAUGAGAUAUGUGUCAACCCUCAACUGGCAGGUUAACGUCUCAACAUACAUUCGCUACAUAGUUCUAAAAUGUAGGCACUGCUACUAAAGGUCACACCCUCAACUGGCAGGUGAGCCCCCUAAUUACUGGACUGAACUGAGCUGACUGACAUGAUGCACUGACUGAACUGAUAAUACACUAAUAUAUUCUGAACCCUUCUGAAAGUAUUUAAACUAAGUAAACAACUAAGUGUUGGGGUAUUCAUAACCCCUAGGACUUGAUACUAAUUUCAAUAAGAUCAUAGGAAAGCAUUUGAAACCAUAAUACAACUUGGAGAACUUCAUAAAUAGUCAUUGUUCAAAAUCCAUCUAUGAGGCAUUUCAUCAAACACAUAGGGGUCGUGAGUUAAACCAUGAAAUUAGUUUAAUACAUAGGAUAGUAACAUAACUUUUUCACUAAAAUCAUGGGUUAGGAAUUUCAACAUGGAAUUUUUCAUUCUUCAACAUGUCAAGAACUAACUUCAACGAAAAACACAUGUAAACAUGGCAUAAAGUCAAAAUUCAUGGAAGUUCAUGGAUAAGAUUCAUAAAUACAUAUUAAUAUCAAAAUUGAACUUGAAAAUUGGAUUCUUGAACUCCAUCGAUUAAAAGGGUCCAUGAAUCAACAUUGAACAUAUCUUAAUUGAAGAAUUCGUGAAUGUUCUUGGUGGAUUUCUUAAGAAUUAAACUUGAAUGUUGAAGGGGCUAGGGUUUAUUCUUGAGAGAAAUUGCUUUUAAUUUUGGGUAAAGUAUGAAUUAUGAUUCAAAGAUGCUAUUUUGGGACCUAAAUCCUGUGUUACCGUGAGGGGGAAAAAAUAAAACUACCCUACUGCAUUUAAAAUCCAGAACUGGAAUGUCGAUUAAGGCUUCACCGCGAGGUAGUUAUUCCUUCAUCGCUAUACUCACCGUGAUGCGGUACAAUCAUGGUGAGUCACUAGAAAUUGAACAUUACUGAUUUUCCCUUCACCGUAAUGUGGUGACUCCUUCAUCGUAAUACUUACUGCGACGCAGUCUAAUCGCGGUGAGCUGUUGCCUGGAAACAUUUAAAAUUAUAGCUUGAAAUCAAAUUAGCAUGAUAUUCAUGGACAUAAUUCAACUUAAUCAUGUAAAACUCAUAAUUUAAAAAUAAAAAAAUAAAAAGGGAUCUUUGGACUCCAUGGAUGAAAAGGGCCCAUGAAUGAAUAUCACACAUACCUUAAACCUUUAAUCUUGGAAUAGAAACGCCAAUCUUGAUGUCUUCUUGAAGGUUCUUGAAUUUGGGAGCUUGAAUUCUUGGUUUUCUUUGAGAGAAAGUAAUGAAAUUGAUGAAUUUGGGAGAUGAAUAGUGUUUAUUUAAAAGGAGAAUUAAAGAAGAAGAAGAAGGACAAAUAAUGCCCUAACUGGUGAUAUAAGUCAUAAUAUGAAGACUUGGAUUAAGGAGAAAAUACACAAUUGCCCCUCAGGCAAUUAAAUUUGCAAUUGAAUGAUAAUUUAAAGGCUCACCGCAACGCGGCAUUAUCGUGGUGAGUUGCUGGAAUUGUGAUCUAAACGUAACCCAAUCCUCAUCCAAAAAUUUAAAACCUUUCCAAGACAUGAUCCUUACACCCCUGAACAUGAAUUAACUCAAAAACCAAUAUCUCGGGAUUGGAAAGACCAAUUCAAAAAUUCUCAAAGUUAAGAGGCUUUAAAAUGACCAAGUCUCCAACACUUAGUGAAAUUUUUAGGAUUUAAGCCUCUUAUACAUGUAACUAGUAGCUAAACUGAGCUAAGAAUAAUGCGGGGUAUUACAUUAAGAUUGCAUGAUAUGUCCUUUAGCCAAGCAAUAUAGACAAAGAUUUCAAGUUAGUAGUUCUAAAUCUGCACACAUGUUUUAGUUGAUUCACUUAGAUAUUUGGGGACCUCAUAAACACCCCACCUAUGAUGGAAAACAUUAUUUUCUAACCAUAGUAGAUGAUUACAGUAGAUUUACUUGGGUAAUGUUGUUACAUUAUAAGAAAAAUAUCGGUAUUGUUAUUAAGCAUUUCAUCUCUAUGGUAUGUAAUCAGUUUGGUGUUGGAAUAAAAAUUUUGAGAACUAACAAUUGGACUGGAUUCUUUAAUGCUUAUAAGAAAGAUUUAUUGUUACGUCAUGGGAUCAUACAUCAGAGCAGUUGUCCAUAUACACCACAACAAAAUGGUGUGGUUGAAAAAAACACAGGCACUUGUUAGAAGUGGCAAAAGCUUUGAAACUACAGUCACAAAUACCAAAUAGAUUUUGGGGUGAUUGUGUUUUGACAGCAGCCUAUUUGAUAAAUAGGUUGCCCACACCCUUGUUACAUGGGAAAUCUCCUUAAGAGAAGUUAUUUGGAGAACUGCCCACUAUAACAUAUUUGAAAGUGUUUGGUUGUUUGUGUUUUGCAAGUUUCCUACCAAAAGGGGAUAAGUUUGAUGCAAGAGCCAAGGAAUCAAUAUUGAUUGGAUACUCUUCUACUCAGAAAGGAUACAAACUUUAUGAUUUACAUGCUAGAAAUAUCUUCAUUAGUAGGGAUAUGGUAUUCAAAAAACACAUAUUUCCUUUCAAAAGAAAGUCUUUUACUGAUGAUGAGUCCCUUGUACCUCUAAUUCACCUUUUGUGUGUGAUGCAGGAAUCUUUGAUGUUGAUCAUAGUGGUUCAGCACCAUAUCAUACAGUUGGUGAGAUCAUCUCAGAUGCCUCAACAGAUAAUGUGUCUUCUUAUGUUAAUAUUGAUGCAAUGCCUCCAGAACAUAAUACAUCCACAACUCAACCUCUUACAACCGUGCCAGAAGUGGAACAUGAAGUUAUUCCCAUUCCUAUUGUACCAUGUACAGUUAUUCCUGCGGCAAGAAAAAUUGCCAGAGCUACCAAACCUCCAAUUUGGAUCAAAGAUUACGUGGUUCCUGCUAAGCCAAGUCCUCAUUUUAUUACAAACCAUAUAAGGUAUGAUCACUUAUCGACUAGAUAUUAAGCGUAUCUUGCUGCUUUUUCUGCCUUGUUGGAGCCUUAAUCAUUCAAAAAUGCAGUAUAAGAUGAGAAAUAGAUUUUGGCUAUGCAAGAAGAAAUAUAGGCUCUAGGAGAUAAUCACACAUGGACUAUUGUAGAUUUUCCUAAAGGUGCAAAAUCUAUUAGUUCUAAGUGGGAGUACAAAAUAAAAUAUAAAUCAAAUGGAAAGGUGGAUAGGUUCAAAGCCAGGCUUAUGGCUAAAGGUUAUACUCAGAGAGAAGGAAUAAAUUAUCAAGAAACUUUCUCACCAGUGGCUAAAAUGGUCACAGUGAGGACAGUGCUCAACUUAGUUGCAUUUUCUGGUUGGGAAUUGUAUUAGAUGAAUGUCAAUAAUGCUUUAUUAUAAGGUGAUCUGCAUAAAGAUAUUUACAUGGACCUACCUCUUGGUUUUCACAAGAAACAUGAUAAUAAGGUAUGCAAAUUAAAAAAAAUCCCUUUAUGGGUUAAAAGUAGCGUCUAGACAGUGGAACAUCAAGUUCACUGAUGCCUUGUGGCUUUAAGGUUUUAGUCAGAGCUCACAUGAUCAUUCUCUUUUUAUCAAGAAGUAAGGAGGAGAUCUGGUUGAGAUUCUUGUAUAUGUUGAUGAUCUUCUUAUCACUGGUUCCAGUCAUCAAAUGAUUCAAGAGACUAAGUCCAUCCUACAUCAAUACUUCAAGAUAAAAGAUUUGGAACAGUUAAGGUAUUUCUUGGGACUUGAAGUUAUACAAUCCAAAGAUGGGAUUUUACUCAAUUAAAGAAAAUAUGCUCUUCAACUUAUUGCAGAAACAGGACUUAGUGGAGCCAAACCUGUCAGUACACCACAUGAAUUCAAUCAUAAAUGUGUAUUAAUAUGGUAUAAGUGUUGUAUCAAUUUGGUAUAAAAAUUGUAUAUGCAGGAAAAGGCCAAAAUAGCCCAAUAGCUAUUACGAGGUAUUAUUUUGGCCGACUGGCCAUAAAGCGGAAAACUUACCAAAUGCUGGUCAUUUAUUUUCAAAAUGGCCAGUGAGUGUCCUUUCCCCUAUUUUUAAUUUAGACAUACCUAGCUCUUAAGAAUUUUACUCAUUUUUAGAAUAUAAAAAGUAUUUUAAUGCUGUCUUACAUUUAAUUAAAUGCCUUGAAGAAAUUCACUACAAAAAAGAGUACUUUUGAGGGGGUUAUAUUGUAAGGGUGCUUGAAAUCCCCACAAAUAGUAUUGAGUUGUGGCGGUUUGUAAAACCCCUGCCAUUUAAUUUAUUUUGUGGCAUUUUUUGGUUAUACUGCGAGGGUUUUUAAAGCCCCAAUUUAGAAUAUCUCAUUUCCUUAUUUUUUAAUCUUUGGCACCAAAAAAGAAUGCAGCAAAUUCUUCUUUUCUUUUUUUCAUUCUAGUAUUUCUACCUCUUCUGGUUUCAAUUUCUAGGUUUUCUCAGUUCGCUGUGGCUAAGAGGCAAUCUUUCCUCAACUCAAUAUCAUGAAAUUGUAAGCUCCUUUGGUGUAUGAAUUUCUCUCCAUUAUUGGAUUAGGGCUUCGAAUUAGGUCCCAAUGUGGUUCAAGAAAUCAUAGGUUGACUUUAUUUUUAUGAGAAAAUAUUUACAAUCUGCUAUAACUAACCAUCGUGAUGAAUCUUUGUAGGUGAGCCUUUGUUGUAGAAAUAUUGGAAUUCAGUGUUCUUGUUCAAAGUCUAUUGGUUAGAAUCAGCUCGAUGGGGUAGAAUUUUGUUCUACUGAAAGCUCGUCAUCCUAAGUUCAUUGCUCCAAAAAAGGUGAGAAUUUCAUGUCCUUUUUCUUUUUUAUUUAUGUGUCAAAGGUGAGAUUGCAGGUUUCAAGAUGUAGAAUCGAGUAAAGUUUUUUGUUUGGUUGUAUAUUUCUAUUGAAUGGUUGAAUACGUUUUCAAAAUAAAUGUUCAGUUAGUUGUUAUUGUAGGAGUAUGGUGUUGAAGGAAUUAUGUGAUUUAGCAGUUUUGUAAUUCAAAAUUUUGUCUUUCAUUUGGUACAAUGCUUGCGAACACUACCAUCUCCCUUUGUUUUGUUAUGCUUAAGUAAUAUUAUUUGUACCCAUGAUCUAGUUGAAUGAGUGAUCAUGAGUCUAUCUUGCGCGUUUAAUCAUGGUUCGAAACCCGAUAGCGAAGUCGAUUCUCUUUAGCUUAGGUUCACUUUUUUUUAAAAGUCUAAUGGCCGAUUUAUAUUUUCUCAAGUAAUAUCUUUUUUCUGUUUAGCAUGGUUCCAUUAUCUAUACAAAAUACGUCCUUGCCUAGAGUUAAUUUCGAAGUAAAAACUGCUGCUAUGCGCUUAUAUUAAUCAAGUUAGUCACGGACUUUAUGAAUAUGGGUAAAAAUACUAUGUUUUAGUUAAUCACCUUAUAUUAUCAAAAUCGAGUUAGUUGUUUUUAUACGUAUACAUGAAGACUUCCCGUAUAUGAUUAGCCCUGUACCUCUAGUUUAUUCUAUAUUAUUUGAAGUGAACUGGAGUGUUUAAGUUUUCCAUCCAGUAUUUCUCAGUCUAUGUCAAACCUGAUAGCUAUUCUCCACAUUUUCCUAAGCUUGCGUUGCAUUUUUUUAGACUAAUUUGGUAUCUAAUUGUUGGAUUUGAUUAAGACUAAAAUUUGCUUCAAAGUUGUACUUGAUUUUCCCAUGUCAUUUGGAGCUUUAGAAGAAAAGUCAGUUGAAAUUCUUCAAAAGUUAUCCUUAAGCCCCCUCUUUUAGGAAGAGUCAACUCUCAAAAUUGAUUUAUGUUCUAUCACUCUCGUUGUAUGAUUUGGUGCCAACAUUAUUGGAAAGUUGUGGUUUGUAUUGAAAAAAUAAAAGCAAGUCGUGUCUUUUAAAAUGUUUGGAGGCCAGUGUAACAACAAAGAGACUAAGCCCCCUUCAGAUGCACUGUGUGGACUCUUGAUAAUAUAUGAAGACUUCAUCACAAGUUCACGAAGAUUUCAUCUAGAUAUCAGUAAUCUAAAAUUGUCAUAAUGGAAGAAAAUGAUUAAAAAGUUGGUUUUAAGUCUCUGUUCCUUAAUAAUAGUUAUAGGUUGCUUCCAUUAUUUUCUUUGGCUGCCACAAUUCACCAACCUCAGCUCACGUACUCAAAGUAUGUGUAUGAUAUUAAAAAACUGUAGAUUGCAAGAAAUGCACUUUUGGCAUAGUACAUAUACUAGUCAAGUAUCAGAUGAGACUCUAGCUAAAUUUACCUUUCAUUCCUUUGGUUUUUCUAAGGAAUGAUAGCUAAAUUUCAUUGGUUUCCUAUAGCUUUUAUUCGGUUAGAUAGUUUUUAUUUUUAUCUUAUAGUUGUAGUAUUAUCUUAUUUUUGUCUUGCUUGAAGCCGGGGGUCUAUCAGAAACAACCUCUCUACUUCACAUGAGGUAGUGGUAUGGUCUGCGUACACCCUACCCUCCCCAGACCCCACUAUGUGGGAAUAAACUGGAUAUGUUGUUGUUGAUGUUGUUGUAUUUAUUUUCAGAUUGAGAUAUUAUAGUACCUAUUUGUGUUGUAAUUUUUGUUAACUAUUGUUGUACCUAUUUUUGUUCAAAUAAACUAUUACGAUUAAUGAUUCAAAUUGCUUGUUUUUUUUUCUAAAUAGUCUUUGGAUGCUAUCAACUAAGAAAACAAGUUAUUUUCUUAUGACUGUGUAGCCAUGCCAAAGAUUAAAUGUUUUAAAAAUCCAUUAAAAUCAGCUCCUGCAUCACAUGAUACUAAUGGACAUUCUUCAUCACCAAUAAGCCCAUCUCAACCUUCUAUUAGGCCUUUAACAUCAGUACCUCCACCACAUGAUGCACCAAAUUUCUCACGAGUUGAUGAAGUUCAAUAAGUACAAGCCCCAACUCAACCAACGAAUUCAAGCGCAACAUGUGAAUUUGUACCACAUUGGAGAGUACAAACAAUUGGUAUACGGCUUAUAUACUUAACUUGAUUAUGAGCUUUUUAAUUAUUUUUCUCUUAUAAAUGAGUAACUUAUUUUUUUUAUAACAGACUCAGAAAAGAAAAUCAAGAGUAAUAAGCUAAAGGUAAACGAUGUCAACUACCUACCUUUAGGGGAACAUAUAAUUGUGGACUUCGAUGAAUAUGGUGCAGUAAUUGGAGUAGCGCAAGGGUUGCUUGCAGAAUAUUGUGGAACGUUGGCAACUGAUUGCAAUUUAUUCCCUAUUAGUUUUGAAAAGUGGUCAGGGCAAGUUGGUGUUCCUAAAAAGUAUAAAGAAGACUACUUUAUGACAAUUUUAAGGUUCUAAUUUUGUUAUGAAUAUAUUUAUUCUUUGCUGCCAUACUUCUAUACAUGUAUAGAAACUAACUUUGUUUUACUCUUUGAAGUCUCGAUUUUUUUAGGACUACUGAAGUCAUUGCAUAUAGAUUUUGUACUUCCAGCAUUGGAAAGAAGUGGACAACACAUAGACUAAGGACGUAUGACGAAUUUGAUGAUCCAGCCAAAAGUACCAAUGAAUUGAUAAGUAAUGUGCCAAAGGGUAUAAACAAAGAUCAGUGGGCUAGUAUGUUGCUUAUCGUAAAAGACCCUCAAUAGUUGUACGAUUCUGAUUUUUUUACUAAAUUUUACUAUUAUUUUAAUUAAAUAUUAGAUUAACUUUCUAAGUUAUAAUUAUUUUUUUUCGAUAGGCGCUUUGCAAGAGAAAUAAAGAAAUUCAAAGCAAGCAAAAGAUUCCACACACGGGUGGUUCAAAAUCAUUGGCAAGAAGACGACAUGAGAUAGUAUGCAUAUCAACUUACAAAUAUUUACUUUUUCUCUAAUUUAAAUGUCUUACUAUAAUUUGUUUAAUACUCUUUUUCUUUAAUUUUUGUCAAUAAGAGUAAAACCUAGUCGGGGAUAAAUGUAUCUCGAAACUCAUAAAAGGACAGGUGGAUCAUUUGUAAACGAAGAGGCAAGAAUUUUAGGGGUAAGUUUAACUUUGUCUGUGUUAUUUUGUCCGUGAAAUGGAUGUGGAUUUUUGAAAUUUCAUUUUAGGCUGAAUAGUUGGAUUUUGAAUAACAAACUACUAUGCAUGUUAUAGAGUGGUACUAAUAUCAAACUCCUAUUAUGAGAACAAAUUUUGAAUAGAUUUCAUAUUAGAAUUAUGAGAAGUUUGACUAGAUUUCAUAUUAGAGUUAUGAGAAGUGUUUAAAGAAAUGCUUAAAAUGAAAAAAAAGAAGAGUGAUUAGAUAAUAAGGUAGCAUAUCAGUGCUAAUAAAACAUAAAGUAGCUUUAAUACUUUGUUUGAGUCUUCAAAAGAAGGAAAAACAGAGGAGUAGAUAAAAAGAUUUCAAUUCAGUGUUUUAAAUAAUACCUGACAGUAUUUAUCAAUAAUAAUAAUAAUAAUAAUAAUAAUUCUUGACAGCUUAAUUUGAAUAAUUAGGAAAAAUCUUUCAAUAAAGGGAAGUAAGUCGAGUUUAUCUAGGUAGGAGGUGGUACUAGAGAGACUUGAAUUAUGCAUCUGUGUGUAAUCUGUUUCAAGUAAGUCAAUUGUGUAUCUGUGUGUAAUCUGCUUCAAGUAAGUACUUUACUAAGUAAGUCGAAUUAUGCAUUUGUGUGUAAUCUUUCAAUAAUGAGAAAUAAUCUGUUUUAAGUGUUGUAUUAAAGAAUUGUUGCAGUAUGAAUAGAUAUUGCUAAUAGUAUCCAUUGAAUUAUGCAUAUGUAUGUCUGACAGCUUGAGUUAAAGUCUACAAAAUGAUUUGGUGAUCGCUUUCACAUACAAUUCUGACUUUGUUGAGAUUUACUGGCACUUGUAUCUGCUACUUUCUCUUAGAUCCACAGAUUAAUCUAUAGAGUUAUAAUCAUGGUGUUGAAGUCAAUUUCUUAUUUGUUUGGUCUUGUGUUAUUAUAAUCAAAAUUUAUUAUUUAGAUCCGUAUUGAGAGUUACUAGAGGGUAUCCAAUCCAAAUGUUAUUUUUAAUUUACUAAUUAAUUAUUUAUCUGUGGUAGGAACAAAUUGAGUCAUAUGUGACUCAAUACAAUGAAUCGGAAGCUUCCCCUAGUGAUAUUAUUGGCAAGUUGUUUGGGGAAGAGAACUCGGGAAGGGUGCGAUGUUUAGGUAUGGGAGCAGUUCCUUCAAACACAUUCAGAAAUACCAAAAAAUGACUUAGUAAUCUGAAUUGUUCCUCAUCUAACGUUGGUGCGUCAUCCUCAACUGAUACCUAUUUACAUCAAAAGGUCUCUCGUUUAAAAUAUCAAUUAGAAGGAGCUUUGAACGCUUUGAAGACUUACAUGAUAUCAAAGAAAAGAAGUGUUCUUGAUGAAUUUGUUGGCUUGUUUGCUCCUCAACCACAGGUACUAAGUAAGUGUACAUCUAUGUAGUUGAUUAUUAAUCGAUUUUUCAUCAAAUAUUUUUUUCUUUAUUUCAGUCGAAUGAUUCCAAGUGUGAGCCUACUUCACCAGUAGAUACAAGCGGAGCAGCGGGUGACAAUGACGCAAAUCAUCUAUAAAGUACUUAGUUUUUAUGUUUAAAUUAUGGAAUCAUUUUUGUGGAUUUAUAUUACUCUACUGUUUUACAAACAGUUAGUUAAAAUUUAACUUGGAAUGUGAUAUUUGAAUUUUUGUAAACUGUAGUUUGAGCUAGGAAUGGUAUUUGAAUUUAAGUUAACUGUAGUUUGGGAUGUGUUACAUGAAUUUGUGACUUUUAAUGUUAUUGAUAUUUUUAAUGCGAUUCAGUGUACAUCUUAUAAGUUAUCGGCACAUGAUUAUAACAUAGCUCUAAUUAAAUCAUACAAUUAAAAAGUAUAUUACUAAGAAAAAAAUUACACUGUGCAAUAACUUGGAUUACAGCAUUUACAGACCCUCACAAAUGAUGCUAUUUUGAAUAUGAAGAAUUAUAUUGAGUGAUUUAUAAAUCUCCACUAAUUAUAUUUUGAAAAAAUAGGAAUCAUAUUUGGGGGGUUUUAAACCGUCAGCAAUUGGCUUUAAAAAACCGCCACAAUAUUGGAAUUAAUUUUGCAGUGGUUUCUUUCACAAUUGCGACGUUUGCUAAAAACUGUCACAAUAUUGCUUGUAGCGAUGCUAACUGCAGUGGUUCUUAAAACUGCCACAAAAUUUUUUGUGGGGGUUCCAAACUGCCAAUCGAGCAGAAUAAUUUCCGCAAAUUUAACCUUUUUUUGUAGUGAAAAAUUAACUCUUUAAUAGUGUAAAACUCCAUAUAUUAAAAUAGAGAGAAUUUUAGAAGAAAAAAGAUAGUUUUUCUUGAUUAUAUAAAACCACUUAUUUGAAAUAGAAUGAAAAAAAUAAAAACACUGAUUAUUUUGAAAAGCAGAACAUACCAAGUGCCAAGAACACCGCUAUGUGCCCACCAAAAAGUAGAGUAUAUCAAAUCUUGAUAAAUACUAAACAAUCAUAUUUCAUCAUAUUAUCAUCUUCUAUAUCUGAUAGUAAUUUUAUGAAUUGAGAUAUUUUAUGAAAUUAAUUAUUUUACCGUUAUAUAUGAAAUAACUACUCCAUCAUUAUAAUAGAAAUAUAGAGCAAAUAAGUUAACAAUAUUUCUAAUCAAACACAAAAUAAAAUAAUAUUACAUCUGAAAAUUUGUAUUAUUUUUUAGACAAAUUACAUAAUAUCACACCUUAACUUACCAUUAUUAUUUAAAAUCCCGAUUCUUUAAAAUAAUAAUAUAAAUCUCUUUUUUUACUUUCUCUCUCUAAACUCUAGGAUAUAUUACAUCACCCCAAAUCUCAAAUUCAAUUCAUUUUUUCCUCCAUACCUGCCCUUACACUAUUUCUCUUCAUCUCAAUGUUUACAUUUUUUUUCUUUUUUUCUAGGCCUAGAGAAGUUAUCAUUUUCUUCAGUCACACGUUAUGACUAUGCAAAACUAUUAAACCUUCAACACUUCAACAAUAGCGAGCACCACCACUAAACUCCUCUGUAUCCGCCCUAAAUUCAAACGUUCCCUACACCAAAAGCUCUUUUGGUGUCUCGUAUGUGAGGAUUACUAGCGAUGGUGGCCUGAGAUAGAGGCAAAGGGGGUAGGGAUGGAGUAUGAAGGGAGUUCACAAAUUCGUCAAUCGAGGUUCAAGAUGAUAAUGUUAAUAGAGAUAGAUAAUAAGGUUGUAUCUGCUAAGAGAGUUCGGAGAUACAUAAAAAUAAUGUAUAUGAUUGAAAAGAACAAGAACAUACAUCACGCGAUCCUCCAUCAAAUGUACAAAAGUUAUAUAUCUUACUGAAUAUUAGGUUACAAAUACAUAAGAAAAGAUGAUGUCUUUGGUUGAAAUCUGACCAAAAUCAUGUAUCGAAAUGAUUUUUGUGCUACUGAUAUAUAAUACUUAUGUAUCUGAAUAUAUUCCUGUGAUACUAAUACAAAAGAGUUAUGUAUUAGGAAGGUUAUGUAUCUGAGCCUCAAUAAUGUAUCACAAAAACUAAAACUCAA